CAGAUUGAACGCUGGCGGCAGGCCUAACACAUGCAAGUCGAGCGGAAACGAGUUGUCUGAACCUUCGGGGAACGAUAACGGCGUCGAGCGGCGGACGGGUGAGUAAUGCCUAGGAAAUUGCCCUGAUGUGGGGGAUAACCAUUGGAAACGAUGGCUAAUACCGCAUGAUGCCUACGGGCCAAAGAGGGGGACCUUCGGGCCUCUCGCGUCAGGAUAUGCCUAGGUGGGAUUAGCUAGUUGGUGAGGUAAGGGCUCACCAAGGCGACGAUCCCUAGCUGGUCUGAGAGGAUGAUCAGCCACACUGGAACUGAGACACGGUCCAGACUCCUACGGGAGGCAGCAGUGGGGAAUAUUGCACAAUGGGCGCAAGCCUGAUGCAGCCAUGCCGCGUGUAUGAAGAAGGCCUUCGGGUUGUAAAGUACUUUCAGUCGUGAGGAAGGUGGUGUUGUUAAUAGCAGCAUCAUUUGACGUUAGCGACAGAAGAAGCACCGGCUAACUCCGUGCCAGCAGCCGCGGUAAUACGGAGGGUGCGAGCGUUAAUCGGAAUUACUGGGCGUAAAGCGCAUGCAGGUGGUUUGUUAAGUCAGAUGUGAAAGCCCGGGGCUCAACCUCGGAAUAGCAUUUGAAACUGGCAGACUAGAGUACUGUAGAGGGGGGUAGAAUUUCAGGUGUAGCGGUGAAAUGCGUAGAGAUCUGAAGGAAUACCGGUGGCGAAGGCGGCCCCCUGGACAGAUACUGACACUC
Molecule: ribosomal RNA, 744 nt
Filed under: Vibrio sp. THM-B4
Lineage: Bacteria; Pseudomonadati; Pseudomonadota; Gammaproteobacteria; Vibrionales; Vibrionaceae
Description: bacterial SSU rRNA
Rfam family: Bacterial small subunit ribosomal RNA
Source: RNAcentral